GGAUGUCAAAUAAGUUGCCACCAACAGAUUUAUCAGAUGAAUCGUAGCCAUCACAAAAGGCUGAUGGAAUCAAAGGUCCAAUUGGGAUCAAAUUCAUUCCAUCAACAGCUUUGAUUGAUGCUUCUUCUAACUCAUUAAAAGUAUUGACCAGUACACAAGCUGUAGACUCUUGUUCUAAGAUCUUAAUAUGUUCAUGAAAAGAAGGAACUACAGAAGGAAAUAAUGGAUCAUUCGGAAAGAAAAAGGUCGGCAAAUCCUCCUUUUGAAACAAGGAAAGGUCAGGCAAUUUUAUGGAAAUUGAAGAGUAAUCAACUUCACGAACUCCAUCAUAAAUUCCAUCAUGGCUAUUGAAGUACCUGUGAUAUAAGGCAAACGAGGUGGCACACUGGAUAACUAAAAAAGCCGAAGGAACAUUCAUCUCACUCGCCAAUUCUGCCACCCAAGGCAGCAAAAUAGUGUAGAUUGCAAAGGUCACCGGUCGGCCCUCGUUUGAUGAGGCUUGGAUCAACUUGGUAAGGUCUUUAGAACCGAAACACUUAACAUCUGAUAAAAAGCACGCGAAGUCGCGGUUUUUCAUAGAUUUUUCAUCAUCAUAGCCAUCCGAAAAGGAUGCAAAGGAGAGACCAUUAAAGGCUGGAGGGUUUUUAAUGCGACUAAGGCCAUAAACCGUGAUGGCAAAGGUGACUUGUGCACCAGCUCUUGCUAAGUUUUUGGCUAGCUGAAGAGUAGGGUUGAUGUGGCCUUGGGCUGGUAUGGCAGUGACGAGAAAGUGCUGGUGCUGGUGCUUGAUGUCCAUGGUUGAUGCUCAAUUGUUUUUCUUCUGAGUACAUAAAAUCUAUACUUAUAUACAACGGGAGAGGUUCCUUUUUUGGUAUAAAUAAUUUAUGUCAUUUAAUGUUAUAUCAAAAAUACCUUUUAAAAUUUGUUUUCAAACCACUCAAAUUCUAUCUUUUUUUUCUAUCAUGAUUUGACUCUUUAAGUACAACUGCUCACAUCCUGUCUUUUUCUCUACCAUAAUUUAAAUAUAAUAACUUCCUAAAUAAAAAAGAAUAGUUUUAUAGAUAUCUAAAAGCAAAAAUAUAUACAUGCUCUAACAUGAUUUUACAGAUAAUAACUUAAUGUAAAAAAAGAAUAAUUAAUCAUAUAUUUUUAUAAUAAGCACACACACACGUAGAGUGUACCAAUAGCACUUGUGGUUAAUGACCCUUGAGGAAAAGGCAAACUUACAUUCAAACUCGAGUUAAUGACUUUUGUGCUUCAAUUUGUGAGUUGUGUUUGGAAGUCAAGCAAAUUCUUAGUUGGAACUCUAUCAUAUGUACCAUUGUACCUUGGCUUUAUUCACUUGAUUCUGCUCCUGCCCUAGUGAAUUGCCGCUUUACUCCAUAAUCCAAAAUUUCCCCAAUGCUGAAUGACUGGAACACGUAGCAUAUAUAUAAAAGGGGCCAAGAAGGUAUUUAAUGUUGAAAAGUGUUGCCUACCAAACACUGAAGCAAACAAUUAUGUGACGUUGAAUGGUCAUCUUAUUGUUUCGAUAUCAAUUAAGUUUCUUCCCAAAGAUAAGACAGAACCGUCAAAUGCUCGCGUACGUUGAUUGGCCACUCAAAGUUAACAUUUUCAGUCCAAGUCUUGUAAGAAAGUUCUGAAAUGUGUGAAGAGCCAUUUUGUCAAGCAUAUUUAUUGCUUCCUCCAUCCUUUGACAGUUUUGUUUUUUAUUUUCAUCCAUCUCAAAUUAUAGUUUACUUUUUAAUUAAAAAAUAUAAUUAAUUUUAAAUUCUCUAGAAUAUCCUUAUUUAUUUUGCUUUAUUAUCAGUGAAAUUAACUUACCUUAUUCAUUAAUUGCUUUGAUAUGUGUCUUGAAUGGUGCGACUUUUCAUCAAUACCAUUGUUGCAAUUAAUGUAAAGUAUAAUGGUUAGUUAUACUAAUAAUAUUAAUGUAAAGGCAUUUUAGUAAGAUAGUGGGCUAGAUAUAUUUUUGGGAAAAUCGUUCAAAACGUCCCUCACAUUUUAUAAAAUGACUUUUUUCGUCUUUUACUUUUAAAAGUGUACUUUUACGUCCCUUACAAAUUUAUAUUAAUCAAAUUUAGUCCCUAUCUAGGUUUUCGAUUAGUUUUUGGUUGGAAUUCAUCACAUGCCUUGCAUGUGAUCAUUUAUUAGGGGCAAAAUUACCAAAUCAAAAUUUACAUAAUCCAUCUAUAGUCUCUUACAUUUCACAAAAUGAAUUGUUUCGUCCCUUACAUUUCAUAAAAUAAAUUUUUUCAUCCCUCACAUUUCACAAAAUGAAUUUUUUUAUCUCUUAUUGACCAUGUGUACAAAUAGUUUUUUUUUAAUUCAUGUAUAUAUCUAUUUGAUUUCAUUUAAACAGUACAAAUAAUAUGUUAUAUAUCUCUAUUUGAUUUCACCUAAACAGAUUGAUACAUACAUGGGUUUAAAUCUAAUAAUUUUAUUUUAAAUAUAUAUAUAUAUAUAUAUGUGUGUGUGUGUGUGAUUUCACCUUGUGAAUCUAUUCAAUAUUUGUAGCCUUUUCUAUUUUAGUAAUAAUUCAUUUAUUGAGUUGUUUAAUUAGAGGAUCUAAUUAAUAGGUGUUAAUUCGAAUUCUAUAGUCAUGUUAACAAAUUGCAGUUUAAAUCUAAAAUUUUUAUUCGCUACUUUUAAGACCAAUAGUUGAAUUUCUUGCCUUAUAAUUAUUUUAAAAUUUGAAAGUGUCAAUUACUUACUUCUUUUUGUCAUACUUUUCCUUUGUUUAUUUUUUUCUGUCUAAAUUUAAUUCGAUAUAAACACUUGAUAAUGUUUAGAAUUAAAUGUCUUCUUUGUUUUCAAUUUUUAAGUAAAAGGAAUGAACAUGAGUGAAAAACUAACAAUUUUUUUAAAAAUCCCGUAUAUAUCUAUUUUAAUUUCACAUGAACAGUACGUUCAGGAGAAAUCAAAUAGAGAUAUAUUACAUGCUAUUCGUAUUGUUCAGGUGAGAUCAAAUAGAUAUAUACAUUAGUUUAAAAAAAAAGUUAUUCGUAUACAUGAAUAAUGAGGGAUGAAAAAAUUUAUUUUGUAAAAUAUGAGGGACAAAACAAUUCAUUUUGUGAAAUGUGAAGGACAAAAAAAUUCAUUUUAUGAAAUGUGAGAGACUAUGGAUUGGAUGAUGUAAAUUUUGAUGUAACAAUUUUACCCUUCAAAAAUGAUCACGUGCAAGGCACGUGGUGGAUUCCAACAAAAAAUUAGUCGAAAACCUAGAUAAGGACCAGAUUUGAUCAAUGUGAAUUUAUAAGGGACGUAAAAAUACAUUUUUAAAAAUGAGGGACGAAAAAAGUCUUUUUGCAAAAUGUGAGGGACGUUUUGAACGAUUUUUCCUUUAUUUUUCUAAUAAAAUUAACUAAUUUUUCUUAAAUUAUGUGAAAAAAAUCAAAACCAUCAAAGUGAGAUGGAGGGAAUAUAUUUAAUAGGGCAAUUUCUGUUUGUUUAUCCUUGUUUUAUUUUGCACUCAUGAAUAUUUAUUUGUUGAAAAUUGCCCUGAUGCUCUCUUAGUCCGACGUUUUUUUUUUUACCAUUUCAAUUUUAUCCUACAAUGCCGCUGAUUAUGUAAUUUUACUUCGACCAUUUGAACUUUACACUCUACUUUAUUACUUCUUAAAUUGGUGAAAACGAUCCUAAUUAAGCCAAAUAUUUAGUAUUUACGCUUCGAUACUUCUUUUGAUGAGUUUGAAAUUGUCUUUAAUCUUGAGUUAUUUAUUUGUCGAAUCGGAUUUAAACAAAUUUUUGUUAUAUCGGGACUCUAGUAGCUUGAAAUUUUUUCAUAUAAAACUAAAGUUUGAUGCCAUUUUAUUUUUAUUGACCUAAGAUUUUUGUCAAUUUUGGUACAUUAACAAGCAUUAUAUGUUUCUCAUGCAUGUUUCGCUUGAUUUAUUAUUGACGAACCAAAUUCGAAAAACAUGUUAGCAAAUCGAGCUCAAUUCAAAUAUUGAAUAUGUUAAUUCAUUUUGCAACUCAAUCUUUAUAACCCCUAUCAGUGCACGUUCACAUUGUUAAGCCACUAUGGUGAAGAAACGUCUGUGCUUAAGCAGCACUUCGAAACAAGGCAGAGACUGAGUCAAAGUGAGGCCAUUGUAAUUUUCAAAAAAUCAAGUGCAGCAAAUUCACCAAAAAAAAAAAAUUUCUUUCCUUGAAAGAAGGAAAUCCACAUUUAAAGCUGUAUACGGUCCCAAGCAGCCUUUUUUUUUUUUUUUUAAAGGAAUUUUCAACAAUACAUGAUUAAUUGAUUACAAAAACUGAUUUUGAUGGACUGAGACUCAAACACUGCCCUUUUACAAAAAUUUGUAUCAUUCCCACUCCAAAUUCUGCAAGAAGUUUCUGAAAUUGUUGUAUGAAGAUCCAUUUUCCUUCACAGCCUCCAUCGCCAUACCUCUCCAUUUAGCAACAUUUUUUCUCAUUUCUUCCCCUUUUUCACCACCUCCCAUCACAAUAUCCAAGCACCUCCUGAUCUCUGCUCUUUCCACCACACCUUCUUCAUUAGCUUUUGCUCUCACCCCAAUACCCCAAACUUCCUCUAUCAUCUUUGCAUUCGUUGUCUGAUCAGAUAAAUGUGGACAUCCCACAAUUGGAACCCCAGCAACAAUACUCUCCAGUGUUGAAUUCCACCCACAGUGUGUGAGAAAACACCCUAUUGACCUGUGACAGAGCACCUCCAUUUGUGAACACCAUGGCACUAUCAUCCCCUCUUCACUUGAAAUAUUUUCUAUCACUGCCUUUACUUCUUCUUCCUGUUCGUUAUCUGCUCGUAACACGAGCAAAUAAGACCUUCCAGCUUCCUUUAAUCCAUGCAAAAUCUCCAUCUUUUCUUCUUUCUUUAAACUCAAAAGGCUUCCGAAUGAUGCAUAAACCACUGACCUUUCUGGCUUUGAGUCCAACCACUGAAGAUAGUCUUUUUCCGCGAUGUCAUGUAAGUCGCCACCAAAAGUUUUAUCAGUUGAAUCAUUGCCAUCACAAAAGGCUGAAGGAAUCAAAGGUCCAAUUGGGAUUAAAUUCAUUCCAUCAACAGCUUUGAUUGAUGCUUCUUCUAACUCGUUAAAAGUAUUGACCAGUACACAAGCUGUAGAGUCUUGUUCUAAGAUCUUAAUAUGUUCAUGAAAAGAAGGGACUAGAGAAGGAAAUAAUGGAUCAUUCGGAAAGAAAAAGGUCGGCAAAUCCUCCUUUUGAAACAAGGAAAGAUCAGGCAAUUAUAUGGAAAUUGAAGAGUAAUCAACUUCACGAACUCCAUCAUAAAUUCCAUCAUAGCUAUUGAAGUACCUGUGAUAUAAGGCAAAGGAGGUGGCACACUGGAUAAAUAAAAAAGCCGAAGGAACAUUCAUCUCAGUCGCCAAUUCUGCCACCCAAGGCAGCAAAAUAGUGUAGAUUGCAAAGGUCACCGGUCGGCCCUCGUUUGAUGAAGCUUGGAUCAGCUUGGUAAGGUCUUUAGGAGCGAAACACUUAACAUCUGAUAAAAAGCAAGCGAAAUCG
This 5484-nucleotide long non-coding RNA is filed under the name Coffea arabica (coffee). Its description in RNAcentral is "long non-coding RNA (CARA_LNC002484)". Lineage: Eukaryota; Viridiplantae; Streptophyta; Magnoliopsida; Gentianales; Rubiaceae. The record is from RNAcentral.